RNAcentral lists this ribosomal RNA (652 nucleotides) under Rhizopus arrhizus. RNAcentral describes it as "Rhizopus oryzae partial large subunit ribosomal RNA". It matches the Rfam family "Eukaryotic large subunit ribosomal RNA", at positions 83 to 664 of the family's 3401-position model. Lineage: Eukaryota; Fungi; Mucoromycota; Mucoromycetes; Mucorales; Rhizopodaceae. The record is from RNAcentral.
GNACGGCGAGUGANAGGAAGAGCUCAAAGUUGGAACCUGUUUGGCCUAGCUAAACCGGAUUGUAGACUGUAGAAGUGUUUUCCAGGCAAGCCGAGUAAAUAAGUCCUUUGGAACAGGGCAUCAUAGAGGGUGAGAAUCCCGUCUUUGGCUUGAGCAUUUGCCUUUUGUGAUACGCUUUCAAAGAGUCAGGUUGUUUGGGAAUGCAGCCUAAAUUGGGUGGUAAAUCUCACCUAAAGCUAAAUAUUGGCGAGAAACCGAUAGCGAACAAGUACCGUGAGGGAAAGAUGAAAAGAACUUUGAAAAGAGAGUUAAACAGUAUGUGAAAUUGUUAAAAGGGAACCGUUUGGAGCCAGACUGGCUUGUCUGUAAUCAAUCUAGGCUUCGGCCUGGAUGCACUUGCAGGCUAUGCCUGCCAACGACAAUUUGACUUGAGGGAAAAAACUAGGGGAAAUGUGGCCCACUUGUGGGUGUUAUAGUCCCUUAGAAAAUACCUUGGGUUGGAUUGAGGAACGCAGCGAAUGCUUAUUGGCGAGUUUUCCAGGAAGGUUUUCUGAGGUACUACGGUAUCAAGGUUGAUCUUUUUGGUUAUACUUCUAUUCGCUUAGGUUGUUGGCUUAAUGACUCUAAAUGACCCGUCUUNNACCNNNNNACC